GUCCCAGUAGCUCAGUUGGAUAGAGCAACAGCCUUCUAAGCUGUGGGCCGGGGGUUCGAAUCCUCCCUGGGACG
RNAcentral lists this transfer RNA (74 nucleotides) under Cerasibacillus terrae. It matches the Rfam family "tRNA". From Rfam's summary of the family: Transfer RNA (tRNA) molecules are approximately 80 nucleotides in length. Their secondary structure includes four short double-helical elements and three loops (D, anti-codon, and T loops). Further hydrogen bonds mediate the characteristic L-shaped molecular structure. tRNAs have two regions of fundamental functional importance: the anti-codon, which is responsible for specific mRNA codon recognition, and the 3' end, to which the tRNAs corresponding amino acid is attached (by aminoacyl-tRNA synthetases). tRNAs cope with the degeneracy of the genetic code in two manners: having more than one tRNA (with a specific anti-codon) for a particular amino acid; and 'wobble' base-pairing, i.e. permitting non-standard base-pairing at the 3rd anti-codon position. The record is from Rfam by way of RNAcentral. Lineage: Bacteria; Bacillati; Bacillota; Bacilli; Caryophanales; Bacillaceae.